UGGGGAGUAUUGGACAAUGGGGGAAGGACCCUGAUCCAGCGACGCCGCGUGAGUGAAGAAGUAUCUCGGUAUGUAAAGCUCUAUCAGCAGGGAAGAAUCAUGACGGUACCUGAGUAAGAAGCCCCGGCUAACUACGUGCCAGCAGCCGCGGUAAUACGUAGGGGCAGCGUAUCGAUACUGGGUGUAAAGGGAGCGUAGACGGUAAAGCAAGUCUGGAGUGAAAGGCUGGGGCCCAACCCCGGGACUGCUCUGGAAACUGUUAAACUGGAGUGCAGGAGAGGCAGGCGGAAUUCCUAGUGUAGCGGUGAAAUGCGUAGAUAUUAGGAGGAACACCAGUGGCGAAGGCGGCCUGCUGGACUGUAACUGACGUUGAGGCUCGAAAGCGUGGGGAGCAAACAGGAUUAGAUACC
Molecule: ribosomal RNA, 410 nt
Filed under: uncultured bacterium
Lineage: Bacteria
Description: bacterial SSU rRNA
Rfam family: Bacterial small subunit ribosomal RNA
Source: RNAcentral